Molecule: RNA transcript, 771 nt
Organism: Aethalodelphis obliquidens (Pacific white-sided dolphin)
Lineage: Eukaryota; Metazoa; Chordata; Mammalia; Artiodactyla; Delphinidae
Gene: LYG1
Gene name: lysozyme g1
Exons: 3
Source: RefSeq, a predicted model, not a curated record
UUGCCUGCAGAGAGUGAAGAGAAGUGAUCGAACCUUCCAGGCUGGCAAUCCUUGCUCACAAUCCAAAUUCAGUAAAUAUAUAUUUUCAUGGACCAUGUGAAAAUGCAACUCUGCAAAAAGAUCUGUAGUGCCAAGUCAUCAAUAUGUCUGUGCUGUGGCUACUUCUGGGCCUUCUUGCCUUUACUGGACCCUGGCCUUCAUGCCCCACCUCCUGGAUCAGCAAGGCCCAGGUUUCCCAGAUGACUGAGGUCCUGACUGUUAGAAUCAAAGAAAUCCAGAGGAGGUUUCCAACCUGGACCCCUGACCAGCACCUGAGAGCUUUGUGUAACCCAUGGGUUGGUUUCCCAGCGUGGAGUUAAUAAGUACAAACAUAAUUCAUUGCAGCAGAUUCUCCCAAACCUCAGUUGCCUCCUAAAAAGCAACUAGGAAAGAGAAUCUGAGUUAACUGCUGAGCACCCUGCCACAGCGAGGGGCUGUGGGCUUGGCAUUAACCCAUCUCACAAAUUCCAGGUGGACUCCGUGACUACACCCGAAGCAGCCAGGACCUGAGCUGUGACUUCUGCAAUGGUGUCCUUGCACGAGCCAAAUACUUCAGAAGACAGGGCUUCUAACGCUUCAGCUCAGACCCAAGAUCAUUAUUGUGCAGGCAGCUUCAGCUGUUACACAGAUAAAAGUAGCCAAUGAGGGCUUCCCUGGUGGCGCAGUGGUUGAGAGUCCACCUGCCGAUGCAGGGGACACGGGUUCGUGCCCCGGUCCGGGAAGAUCCUACAU